This 814-nucleotide ribosomal RNA is filed under the name Pseudobacillus badius. RNAcentral's name for it is "bacterial SSU rRNA". It matches the Rfam family "Bacterial small subunit ribosomal RNA", at positions 326 to 1129 of the family's 1533-position model. Lineage: Bacteria; Bacillati; Bacillota; Bacilli; Caryophanales; Bacillaceae. The record is from RNAcentral.
ACGGCCCAGACUCCUACGGGAGGCAGCAGUAGGGAAUCUUCCGCAAUGGACGAAAGUCUGACGGAGCAACGCCGCGUGAGUGAAGAAGGUUUUCGGAUCGUAAAGCUCUGUUGUCAGGGAAGAACAAGUACGGAAGUAACUGUCCGUACCUUGACGGUACCUGACCAGAAAGCCACGGCUAACUACGUGCCAGCAGCCGCGGUAAUACGUAGGUGGCAAGCGUUGUCCGGAAUUAUUGGGCGUAAAGCGCGCGCAGGCGGCUUCUUAAGUCUGAUGUGAAAGCCCACGGCUCAACCGUGGAGGGUCAUUGGAAACUGGGAGGCUUGAGUGCAGAAGAGGAGAGCGGAAUUCCACGUGUAGCGGUGAAAUGCGUAGAGAUGUGGAGGAACACCAGUGGCGAAGGCGGCUCUCUGGUCUGUAACUGACGCUGAGGCGCGAAAGCGUGGGGAGCGAACAGGAUUAGAUACCCUGGUAGUCCACGCCGUAAACGAUGAGUGCUAAGUGUUGGAGGGUUUCCGCCCUUCAGUGCUGCAGCUAACGCAUUAAGCACUCCGCCUGGGGAGUACGGCCGCAAGGCUGAAACUCAAAGGAAUUGACGGGGGCCCGCACAAGCGGUGGAGCAUGUGGUUUAAUUCGAAGCAACGCGAAGAACCUUACCAGGUCUUGACAUCCCGCUGACCGGUCUGGAGACAGGCCUUUCCCUUCGGGGACAGCGGUGACAGGUGGUGCAUGGUUGUCGUCAGCUCGUGUCGUGAGAUGUUGGGUUAAGUCCCGCAACGAGCGCAACCCUUGAUCUUAGUUGCCAGCAUUCAGU